Macaca mulatta (Rhesus monkey) is the source of this 2739-nucleotide non-coding RNA. NCBI's taxonomy places the organism in Eukaryota, Metazoa, Chordata, Mammalia, Primates, Cercopithecidae. The record is from the annotation of a RefSeq genome assembly.
ACUCAGGAACUACGUAUGCACACCACAGGGCCCUUGUGGGUACUGAACUUGGAGCGUCAGGCAGCACAACUCACAUUUGUGCAGAGAGCUACAUGCCACAUGCUGUUCUCCAGCUUGCUGUGCAUAUUUGUGGCCUUCAGCUACUCUGGAUCCAGUGUGGCCCAGAAGGUUACUCAAGCCCAGUCAUCAGUAUCCAUGCCAGUGGGGAAAGCAGUCACCCUGAACUGCCAGUAUGAAACAAGUUCGUGGUCAUAUGACCUUUUUUGGUACAAGCAACUUCCCGGCAAAGAGAUGAUUUUCCUUAUUCGCCAGGGUUCUUCUGAACAGAAUGCAAGAAAUGGUCGCUAUUCUGUCAACUUCAAGAAAGAAGCUAGCUCCAUCGCCUUAACCAUUUCAGCCUUACAGCUAGAAGACUCAGCAACAUACUUCUGUGCUCUCUGGGAACUCACAGUGUUUGAAGUGAUAGUAAAAGCAAAACAAAAACCCUAGGGCUCGACAAGAGAACCCUCUACUCCGCAUCCUUUGCUACAGGAGCCGAUUUGAAGUGCACACCUGCAGAUCUCAGGCAAGAGAGGGUAGUGACUGUGGUCUGUGGAUUUAAUCUGUGGUCUGGAUCAGAUGAGUUAAUUCUAAGUAAGACCUCCUUCUAUCUCAUUUGGAAACAGGUGUUCAGAGCAACUUUCUUCUAAUACUUAAAUUUUUACUGAAAAUAGAUCAUACGGAAAACGUGCAAAGUUGUCUAAAGUUGGAAAGACUUCCACAUAAUAACUUAAAGUGGCAGUUUCACUUAACGAUGCUCACAGCAGAAAUAUGGGUCUAGUUAUCUUGAAUCAUAAUAAAAAUCAUUUCCUUAGCCCUUUCCUCUUAGGCUUUAUUUCAAUUAGGGUACAAUCAGGGAAGCAGAACCAUCAUGAAAGAUGUAGAAUAAGAUUAGUUAUAAGGAUUAGACCUCAUGCAAUUGCUGGAGCUGGUGGUUCUCAGAAGUUACUUAGUUGUUUGUGUUUUUAUGAAAUUAUAACAGGAAUAAAAUGUAAUAUUUUCAAAAUCUGACAUUGAGUUUUAUUUACUAGGCUGAAGAGGAUCAGGAUAUUCAUUCCUAUUGCCUUCACAAGUAGAAGAGUACUUCUUAGAUCAUGUGUCCUAGAAUUGUCCUGAUAUCACAUUUCUAUCCCAUUGAUCCAAAGUAUUCAGUCUCACUUGUUAAAUUCUGUGGCUGGGCAUGUUUUUUAUUUGUAAUAUACAGUCGGAUAAGCAUGCCAGAUUUCUAUGUGAUACAAUGCCAUAAUCUGCUCUUACUCCUAUGCAAAGCUAUUGUCUUUGCAUCUAGUAUUGAGCCUGAAUUUACUCUAGGUCAGCUAGAUUCACAUUUGGGAAGGAGAGUUGAAUGUGGACAAGAGCAUGCAAAAACUGAUUUGUAAAGACAUUUUGGAACCCAUGGUGACAGGUGGAACCCAUGAGGACAAACUAAAACUUUUCUGUCUCUUACCUCCUUCAAUCUCAUAGUGUUGGUGACGUUCAGAAGAAAUGGUGUUAUUUGCUAUCUUGUUCCCUGGGGACUUGGCCCAAGAAAAAGAGAAGCUGAAAGAGGACCUGGGGGCAGUGGGGGAGUUGUGAAUCAACAAUAAGAUGAGUUAGCAGAUCAGUAGCAACACGUGUGAGUUGCCACCGUUCCUGGAGCCUGGCACCUGUCUUGCACAAUUUUUUUCAACUUAAUAGAGAAUAAUAUAGGGAAGGAUUUUCUUAGAAAUAUAUUUCCAGGUAGUUACGAUGAGACAGUACGAAGUUACCACAAUACCCCUACCUUGUAAACUUGACAUCCGUAUGCACCUCUUUUCAUAACACUUAGCUUUCAAAUAAAGACAAUUUUAAAAAGCAUGUUUCCUGCCAAUAUGAUGCCACUAUUCUUCACUCAACCACAAAUACCCUAACCCUCUACCUCAAAGAGAAUACAAAGUUCAUUUAUUCAUCUUUGGGUGAUAGUCUUUCCUCUUCUAGCUGAGUCACACUCUCCCAUUGAUAUCCUGUAGUUUAGCUUCUGAAAUUUAACAAGGCAUGUGAUUAACUUAUUAACAUAUCUUUCACUAUUAUGUAUAGACAAAUGGGAGGAGAGUAAAAAAUGGUUACCAUGUAUUUUAAUAUUUUCAUAUCACAAUGGAAAGAAAAUGUUUAUAACAGUAUAGUCUUUUUUAUCCACAAAUGAUCUCAUGGUUGUAGCUGGUUUCCAUAACUAUCUCUUCCAUUACCCAUUUCAUAAUCUGUUUGUUUUCAGCAAGCACCUCCACUCACUGGUACACUUGACUUUCUAUAAAACAAGCUCCUUGGUCAGGAGCAAUGCUAUACAGAAUGCCAUAAAGUUGAGUAAGGAAUUCUCUAAGUCCACCACUGUGGUUUUGCCCGAAGCACUGCAGAUGUGGAACGAAAGUCCAUAUUCGGAAUGUCUAAGUGGAAUAAAACAAAGCAAACCUUGCCAGCAGCCAGAGAAAGUUGAUAUAUCAUGUUCUGGGAAAUGUCUUUAAGAAUGCUUGCUGAAUUCUCAUCAAAAUCGACAGAAGCUAAAGAGGAAAAAGUAUUUUUAAAGUACUUAUAAAACAAACAAAAAAAACCUCUCUAACUAGCUUCCCAUGAACAUAAAAGUCUAAUUUUUAAACCCUUUGUCAAAAAUCAUUGUUAAAAAGGUGGAAAGUCAGUACACAGAUUGGAAAGUUAUAUUUACAUUGACAUAUUUCUGAAAAAGAUUCA